UACGGUAGGGGGCAAGCGUUGUCCGGAUUUAUUGGGCGUAAAGAGCGUGUAGGCGGUUAGGUAGGUCCGUUGUGAAAACUCGAGGCUCAACCCUCGAGACGCCGAUGGAAACCAUCUAACUAGAGUCCGGAAGAGGAGAGUGGAAUUCCGUGGUGUAGCGGUGAAAUGCGACAGAUAUCAGGAAGAACACCCGCUGGCUAAAGGCGGCUCUCUAGUACGGUACUGACGCUGAGACGCGAAAGCGUGGGGAGCGAACAGG
Molecule: ribosomal RNA, 259 nt
Filed under: uncultured bacterium
Lineage: Bacteria
Description: partial 16S ribosomal RNA
Rfam family: Bacterial small subunit ribosomal RNA
Source: RNAcentral